CGAAUUACUGAAGCUUUAUUGUAAACACUAGAGCAAUAAUCAGCUCCGAAUGAUCGAAUUCGAAGCGGCCUCGUGCAACGCGGUGACGUAACGCGCAACGCAAGGCCAAUUCCAAACGGCUCCCCGUUGGACAAGAGGCGCCCUAGGUAGUGCACAUGAGCCUAUUGUUUUGUAGCCUGUUUAGUUGCAGCCUACCUAGGGUUCAGUAGGCGUUUGUGACUCUGUCACGCAGUGCUGUGUUGGAAUGCGUCGAGACUCGCACUUCCCUGAACAAGUUUAACUGAAAAGUUAAGUUUUGAGAGCGAAUAAAACUUUACAAAAGCUUCAGGAAAACAUCGACAGACGUCGAACAAACACAAAGGCUGACCGAGCAUGGCUUCUCAGACAGCCUUUAGUCUCUGUAUGGAUGUCAUUGUGACCUCUGGAGAUGCUUCGCUGCCCAAAGAAUCUGAAGUAAACGCAAUUCCCUGUUCAGAGCUUCCUGCGCCUCAGAUUGUCAUGCUGGCUAACGUGGCGCUGCACACAGAUUCCCCUCCAGAGGAGGAGAAGCAGAUGGCAGAACUGAAAAACGUUGGAUGCUGUGGCUACUCUGAUUGCGAGGACAAACGGGCUCCUUUACAGCUUCGAUGAGACGACCGAAAUUGUGGAUGAAGAGAGCAGUUUGGGAGAAAACAGCAUAGAAGAUGGUGUCGGAAAUGUUGAGACAGUACCAACUGACCUUUCAAAGAAACCUUCAUCGGCAAAAUCUCCUUUUGCCGCGACAAAUUCUCUAAUCAAACCUACCAGGAAAAAGAGGAAGCUGUUCUUCUGCAAGCCGUGCCACUUUCAAGCUGAGUGCGAAGAGGAAUUCGUCCAGCACAUCCGCGUCCACAGCGCAAAGAAACUGAUUGCAGAAAAGGCAGGUGGUGGAAAUUCAGAUGACGAAUCAAAUCAGACACAGCAAAAAUCAGCAAGGGUGUGAUCUGCUGUGAUCGCUGUGGCUACAACACCAACCGCUACGAUCAUUAUGUAGCACACCAGAGGCACCACAAGAAUGAAGGGGAUGAGCAGCAAGUGUUCAGGUGCACCAUCUCCCCUACUCCACUGUCAGCCAAUAUCACUGGAAGAAGUACCUGAGGAACCAUUUUCCCAGCAAGCUAUUCACAUGUGACCAGUGCAGCUACUUCUCUGACAGAAAGAACAACCGCAUCCAGCACAUUUGCACACACACCGGCAUGCAACCUUGGUCAGGGUUUAUGGAAGAAUCAGGAUUACUCUCACACAAUAUGAUGGCAUCACAUUCCAAGACAAUCAUCAUGAUCAUAUUUUAAGUGGCAUUGAUUUUGAAUCAUUUAAUUUCUACCUAUGUUUAUAGAGCGUGAUAAAGCAGGUUACACAAUUGAAAUCAGAUUUUAGAUAUAACGUAAAACCUUUGCUUUUGUGUAAUGUUAUGUUACAUUUUUUUCUAUGUUCAGUCUGUAUUUUCUUUUCUCGAAUUUUUUUUAAUUUCUACUUGAAAAAACAAACUGACAGGUGUGAACUACUAAAGGCCGCCAUCGGAAAAGCGAUUGAAGCACGUGAAUUAGCUUAAUGUUCUAGAAGUAAAUAUGAACAAAAGUCUUGUAGAGUACGUAAUGUCUCAUUAUUGUAGAGACACCCAGGUUUAACAGCAAAAUCAACAGAACUAACAGGUAAACUGGUCCUGUUUACUUAUUCCAUGUUCUAUGCACCUCAAGGGCAAAAGAAAGAACUGAACUUCAUUCUUCUGCUUGUUGCCAAAAUAAACAAGUCAAGAAGC
Long non-coding RNA from Tachysurus fulvidraco (yellow catfish), 1777 nucleotides. RefSeq lists it as uncharacterized. NCBI's taxonomy places the organism in Eukaryota, Metazoa, Chordata, Actinopteri, Siluriformes, Bagridae. The record is from RefSeq and is a predicted model, not a curated record. The transcript is spliced from 2 exons.